AUUGAAACACUAGUUCCUGUAUGAUCACUAAAGUUAAGCAACAUCAAGUAUGGUCAGUACAUAGAUGGGUGGCCGCAUGGGAAUACCAGGUGCUGUAAG
Acanthosepion pharaonis is the source of this 99-nucleotide non-coding RNA. Lineage: Eukaryota; Metazoa; Mollusca; Cephalopoda; Sepiida; Sepiidae. The record is from the annotation of a GenBank genome assembly.